Molecule: microRNA precursor, 194 nt
Filed under: Oryza rufipogon (brownbeard rice)
Lineage: Eukaryota; Viridiplantae; Streptophyta; Magnoliopsida; Poales; Poaceae
Description: MIR812 microRNA precursor family
Rfam family: MIR812 microRNA precursor family
Source: Rfam by way of RNAcentral
UCUAUACGACGCCGUUGACUUUUUCCAACGUUUGACCAUUCGUCUUAUUCAAAAAAUUUAUAUAAUUAUCAUUUAUUUUAUUGUGAUUUGAUUCGUCAUCAAAUGUUCUUUAAGCAUGACAUAAAUAUUUUCAUAUUCGCACUAAAAUUUUGAAUAAAACGAAUAGUCAAACGUUGGUCGAAAAGUUAAUGGUG